AAAAGAAAAGAAAAGAAAAGAAAAGAAAACCCAAAUGCAAAAUCGCGGUAUUUCGUUGGUAUUAUAGUUAAUGUUACUGAUGUAUUCCCUUUGAUAUGGCUAUGGAAUCUUCACUCUUUCGAAAACCUCUUCUUCUUUCCCACUCAGAGAAUCGCUUCAAUUUUGCGCCAUUUUUGAUCUGCUUGGUUAAUUAUUCUUCCUAGUAUCUGCUAGUA
This 215-nucleotide unclassified non-coding RNA is filed under the name Hevea brasiliensis (rubber tree). The record is from RNAcentral. Lineage: Eukaryota; Viridiplantae; Streptophyta; Magnoliopsida; Malpighiales; Euphorbiaceae.